Molecule: unclassified non-coding RNA, 752 nt
Filed under: Bombus terrestris (buff-tailed bumblebee)
Lineage: Eukaryota; Metazoa; Arthropoda; Insecta; Hymenoptera; Apidae
Description: misc RNA ENSBTSG00005027079.1
Source: RNAcentral
UCAGUCGCGUAAAUUGUGCUUAUAAACAUGUGUUAUUUAAUAAAGUUCGAUAGAAAAGAAACAUAAAGUUGAGUUGCGGCUCAACAUUCUUGUCUUUAAAACCUAAGCCUUUAUUUUACGUGACAUUUUGGCGAUCCGUGCCAGGAUCCAUCAACUUCAAAAAACCGAAAUUACGCAGUUCGGGCUACGGUCAACUAUGAAGAUUGAGGAUCAGCGGACCACUGCAACAGAGCAAACACUUUCGACGCUUCGACAAAGGAACACCAUAACGGAACCUUUCCUACGGGCUAAACGACCAAGUGGCGCUUCAACUAGUAGUGGGAGAGGCCUAACUGUUAGAGCUAUAUUAGACGCAAUGCAGAAACAAAACGAGACGUUCACCCAACAAAUUAACAUACACACAGUACGUAUUGACGAAACUUAAAACACAGCAAUAGAAAGGGAGGAGAAACUCGCAGUAGAGAACGCACUAGAAGGGAAGAAUUUAGCAAGAAUACAAAUGGGAGAUGUAUCAGAAGCCACUUCUUUAAUAACCAUACCCAGAUGAAUAUACUCACAUUGCUAAAGAUCAAUCAGUCCUUCGAGAACCUCCUCCAAUACCUCAGACAUCACCUCAAUCAUCAGAGGACGCAAUUUUCCCAGAAUGUUUUACACAACCAGAGCUUACAGCUGUGGCUGUACUCGACAACAAAUAUCGCCACUCGACAUUAAGUACGGGCGAUGGUAGCGCAGUGUUUAGUGCCUUAGAUUAC